RNAcentral lists this ribosomal RNA (406 nucleotides) under uncultured bacterium. RNAcentral's name for it is "partial 16S ribosomal RNA". It matches the Rfam family "Bacterial small subunit ribosomal RNA", at positions 29 to 526 of the family's 1533-position model. The record is from RNAcentral.
AUUGAACGCUGGCGGCAGGCUUAACACAUGCAAGUCGAGCGAGCGGCGGACGGGUGAGUAAUGUCUGGGCAACUGCCUGAUGGAGGGGGAUAACUACUGGAAACCGUAGCUAAUACCGCAUACCAUCAGAUGUGGCCAGGUGGGAUUAGCUAGUCGGGGGGGUAAGGGCUCACCUAGGCGACGAUGCCUAGCUGGUCUGAGAGGAUGACCGGCCACACUGGAACUGAGACACGGUCCAGACUCCUACGGGAGGCAGCAGUGGGGAAUAUUGGACAAUGGGCGAAAGCCUGAUGCAGCCAUGCCGCGUGUGUGAAGAAGGCUUUCGGGUGGUAAACCACUUUAAGCGGGGAGGCGGUACUCGAAGAGAAAGCAACGGCUAACUACGUGCCAGCAGCCGCGGUAAUAC